Molecule: transfer RNA, 75 nt
Filed under: Plantactinospora sp. BB1
Lineage: Bacteria; Bacillati; Actinomycetota; Actinomycetes; Micromonosporales; Micromonosporaceae
Also listed under: 1 other name
Description: tRNA-Gln
Rfam family: tRNA
About the family: Transfer RNA (tRNA) molecules are approximately 80 nucleotides in length. Their secondary structure includes four short double-helical elements and three loops (D, anti-codon, and T loops).
Source: RNAcentral
UCCCAGGUCGUCUAAUAGGUAGGACAUGCGUCUCUGGAGCGCAUUGUUUAGGUUCGAGUCCUAACCUGGGAGCGA